Non-coding RNA from Drosophila kikkawai, 2403 nucleotides. The record is from RefSeq and is a predicted model, not a curated record. NCBI's taxonomy places the organism in Eukaryota, Metazoa, Arthropoda, Insecta, Diptera, Drosophilidae.
UCUUCAGACCAAAACAUUCAAUUAUUUUGUUUUGUUUGUUGUUUACCUUAAAAUAUCGUUAAAAAAAUGUUGCAUACCCAGGCAAUUCACUCAGUGCCCACACUGCAUCAACCUCUGCACUCCAAGGUAUCGAAUUACCUGAACAACCAGCGCAGAACGGGACAAUUCUGCGAUCUGCUCCUCGAGCUAGACUCGGACGAUGCCCUGAGUUUGAGUCUAAGUGUUCACUUUUGCGUUUUGGCCGCCCAGAGUCAGUUGAUAAACACCAACCAGAAGCAGCAGCAGUUUUCCAUUCACAACCCCCUGAAGAUCACCAUCCGCAACUUUAGCUGCUCACAAUGCCUGCACACUAUAGUGGAUUUUUUCUACGAGGACAUUGUUUCCGUGUCCAAGGAGCACGAGCCUCACUUCCGGGAACUGGCACAAAUACUGGCCGUGACCGAACUGCUCAAUCUCUACCAGAUGCAGCCAUUGGGAGAGGUAAAGGAAGCGUCAGAGAUUAUAGCUCUCGGAGAUGAUGAACUGAGUUUGGAGAAUCCGGUGAAGAAAUCCGAGGACGUGUUUGAGAACCAGCAGAGCUACUUUAAGUUAAAGAAUCCCAGAGCCGUAAAGUCCAGCAGCAAGGUGAACUACUGCAUUGGCUGCGACUUCAAGUGCUACCCGGUACAGAAAAUGAUCGAGCAUAUGGGAAGCUGUGAGCCCUCCCACCUCACCUGCUCCCUGUGCGAGGUGGGAUUUCUGCACUGGCGCGAAUACGACCGACAUCUUCGCAGGCAUUCCGGCGACUUGCGCAAGCCCUUCUUCUGCCUGCAGUGCGGAAUUCGGUUCACCACUCGGGCAGCCCUGCUCGUCCAUCAGCCCAAGCACUCUACGGAAACGCCGCACAUCUGUCCGCAUUGCGGCAAGGGCUUCAAGUGGAAACAGGGCCUAAGCAAUCACAUUCUGGUGCACAAUCCCGAGAAACAAAUGCUGUGUGACGUCUGCGGCUAUAGCACCACCCACAUGAAGGCCCUCAAGUCCCACAAACUGCUCCACACCGGCGAGUUCUUUGCCUGCACUUUUCCGGGAUGUAAGCAUCGCGCCAAUCGCAAGGAGAACCUCAAGCUGCACAUCGAGACGCACAAGCAGGGACGGGACUUUAUCUGCGAAAUCUGCGGCUGCAAGUUCAGUCAGAGCAAGAAUCUCAAGCGCCAUGCCCUAAAGCACACUGAAAAUGGUCCAAAUCGUUACAAGUGCCAGCUAUGUGGAUUCAGUAGUCAUCGUUCUGACAAAAUGAAGGAGCACGUGCAGCGGGUGCAUACGGAAAAGGCUGUACAAUUGGAGCUCUCGGAGACGGUGGACAGUUCCUUUCCCGACGACUUUGACCUGCCCAUCAUCGAGACUCUGCCAUCGCCUAAAAAGAAACAGCCCAAGGAAGUCGUCAAGGCGAAGCUGAAAAGAGAAACAAAUGCCGAAAGGCGCCUGAAAAUUUUACUGCCCAAGGAGACUGUCAAAUGAAGCUAAUGAUCUGUUUAAUUCUUAUCUGACAAUGAACUUGUCAUAUAUCAUAUGAUCUCUGCAGAAUGAUCGACUUAAGAGAAAAGAAAAUUAUACCUUGAGAUCGCAGGAUGCAAUGAAGCAAAGUGAUUUGAUUGUAAUCAUUAUUGCAAACUAUUUAGUAAGAAGGAUUUGAAUUACACACCUUUUUGUACAGUUUAAACAUCUACUAGUUUAGGUUCUAGAAAAACAUUUCAGAAGUAAUUAAAUUGCUAACAAUGUAUUGUAAACAACAUUGUCAUAAAUUGUGGAAGGUUAUUUCUAGAAUCAACAAUGUUGGGGCAGUAGUUCUCUUUUAUCUAAUCUAUUUUGGGUAUGUGAUAAGAAGCUAUUGCGUUGUUUCCAGAUGGAGCGACGGAGCCCAUGACUAACCCGAGCGGGAGGUCCAACCUUAUCAGCACCUGAGUGCUACGUAACCAAAGUGUUUCUAUUAAAAACAAUUAAACCAAAACAAACGGAAAGCUCUGUGGUGAGAUAGUGCAUAAUUCUGAAAUAAACAUAAGCUAUACGGGAACUGAGAGGGAGGAACUGGGUCAGACCGAUCGAUCAGGUUCUAACGCACCUCCAAGCGCGGCGAUGUGUCGCCCCUCACGUCGCCCCGGCCGCCGAUAAAUAAGUUAUUUCUGGUUUCAGUUAUUGGGCCUAAAUCCACUAUAAUCGUUGUCGUUACCCCCAGUCUGGCAACUCUGUCGGAGAAAGCUUUUCGCGCCCCCAAGAAAGCUCACCAGGGUAUAAAAACCCCCAGCUCGUUCGAAAAAACUUCAAUUCCGUUCGCUCAGCGAAAAGUGGAAAAAUCAGCGACUCACCUGGGAAAUUCUCGUUUAGCCUGCGAUUUUGCAGAGACCAAGAAGAAGAAGCAGAAGGAAG